UUUCUCUUCCCCUCGGUAGAGUUUGCUUCUCCAACAUUAUGAGGAAUUAUUUUGAAACUUUUGUUUGGUGGUUCUUCCCUGUAGAGUUUUCUAUCUUGUCCCGAUAAGUUCCCCAGUAGAGUUUCUUCUAUGAUGGAAUCUUAUCCAUGUAGUUUCCCCCAGCUGAGACUCUGUCUGAUCCUGAUUUGGCGUUGGAACUUCUGAGGAAGACGUUUU
This 216-nucleotide long non-coding RNA is filed under the name Lathyrus oleraceus (garden pea). RNAcentral describes it as "Pisum sativum (pea) long non-coding RNA (PSAT_LNC011322)". Lineage: Eukaryota; Viridiplantae; Streptophyta; Magnoliopsida; Fabales; Fabaceae. The record is from RNAcentral.